RNAcentral lists this long non-coding RNA (240 nucleotides) under Lathyrus oleraceus (garden pea). RNAcentral's name for it is "Pisum sativum (pea) long non-coding RNA (PSAT_LNC027823)". The record is from RNAcentral. Lineage: Eukaryota; Viridiplantae; Streptophyta; Magnoliopsida; Fabales; Fabaceae.
AAGGAGGAUUAAAGCAUCGUCGGAGCUAUCUUCACCGCUGAAGGUGAGAUUUUCACUCGACCCUCUUUUGAACCAUAGUUUCGUUAGCAUCGUGAGCGAUUCUGAGGAAGACGUGAGGUUUGGGAGCUUUCGAGAUAGGGAUUUCGAUGAGAGGUGAGGGAUUGAGGGUAAGUUUGAGAGCGAUAGAGAGAGCGCGGUUGAGAGUUUCCUGUUUGGUGAGAACGAAAGUGAGCGAUUGAG